UACGUAGGUGGCAAGCGUUGUCCGGAUUUACUGGGCGUAACGAGCGCGCAGGCGGUCGGAUAAGUCGGAUGUGAAAGCCCCCGGCUCAACUGGGGAGGGUCAUUCGAUACUGUUCGACUCGAAGGCAGGAGAGGGAAGUGGAAUUCCCGGUGUAGUGGUGAAAUGCGUAGAUAUCGGGAGGAACACCAGUGGCGAAGGCGACUUCCUGGCCUGUUCUUGACGCUGAGGCGCGAAAGCUAGGGGAGCAAACGGG
Molecule: ribosomal RNA, 253 nt
Filed under: uncultured bacterium
Lineage: Bacteria
Description: partial 16S ribosomal RNA
Rfam family: Bacterial small subunit ribosomal RNA
Source: RNAcentral